UUGCAGCCAGUUAAGCCGACUGUGCUCUUUUCCCCAUGGGGGCCCAGUGUGCAAUGGCUGCAAACAGCAGCCUCCUUGGUAGUGUAUGCAGCCUGUUGCCUGUACAGGUAGCCCUGAGGGACCUUGGAGACAGCU
RNAcentral lists this small nucleolar RNA (135 nucleotides) under Cervus elaphus hippelaphus. RNAcentral describes it as "Small nucleolar RNA SNORA70". It matches the Rfam family "Small nucleolar RNA SNORA70". Rfam says of the family: snoRNA U70 seems to be exclusive to mammals and is a member of the H/ACA class of snoRNA which contain H (ANANNA) and ACA box motifs. H/ACA box snoRNAs are involved in the conversion of uridines to pseudouridines (5-ribosyluracil) a constituent of structural RNAs (transfer, ribosomal, small nuclear, and small nucleolar). RNAcentral also lists the same sequence under 1 other name. The record is from Rfam by way of RNAcentral. Lineage: Eukaryota; Metazoa; Chordata; Mammalia; Artiodactyla; Cervidae.